UGCCAGCAGCGCGGUAAUACGUAGGUGGCAAGCGUUGUCCGGAAUUAUUGGGCGUAAAGCGCGCGCAGGCGGUCUCUUAAGUCUGAUGUGAAAGCCCACGGCUCAACCGUGGAGGGUCAUUGGAAACUGGGAGACUUGAGUGCAGAAGAGGAGAGUGGAAUUCCAUGUGUAGCGGUGAAAUGCGUAGAUAUAUGGAGGAACACCAGUGGCGAAGGCGACUCUCUGGUCUGUAACUGACGCUGAGGCGCGAAAGCGUGGGGAGCAAACAGG
Molecule: ribosomal RNA, 270 nt
Filed under: uncultured prokaryote
Description: partial 16S ribosomal RNA
Rfam family: Bacterial small subunit ribosomal RNA
Source: RNAcentral